UCAGGACGAACGGCUGGCGGCGUGCCUAAUACAUGCAAGUCGAACGGUCUUUCUAUGGAAGCUUGCUUCCACUGAAAAGAUAGUGGCGAACGGGUGAGUAACACGUGGGUAACCUGCCCAUAAGAGGGGGGAUAACAUCCGGAAACGGGUGCUAAUACCGCAUAGUUUUCUUGAUCGCAUGAUCGGGAAAGGAAAGACGGCCUUUGUGCUGUCGCUUAUGGAUGGACCCGCGGCGUAUUAGUUAGUUGGUGAGGUAACGGCUCACCAAGACGAUGAUACGUAGCCGACCUGAGAGGGUGAUCGGCCACAUUGGGACUGAGACACGGCCCAAACUCCUACGGGAGGCAGCAGUAGGGAAUCUUCCGCAAUGGACGAAAGUCUGACGGAGCAACGCCGCGUGAGUGAAGAAAAGGUUUUCGGAUCGUAAAACUCUGUUGUCAGAGAAGAACAAGUUGGAGAGUAACUGCUCCAGCCUUGACGGUAUCUGACCAGAAAGCCACGGCUAACUACGUGCCAGCAGCCGC
This 524-nucleotide ribosomal RNA is filed under the name uncultured bacterium. RNAcentral's name for it is "bacterial SSU rRNA". It matches the Rfam family "Bacterial small subunit ribosomal RNA", at positions 24 to 518 of the family's 1533-position model. The record is from RNAcentral.